AGCUCCAAUAGCGUAUAUUAAAGUUGUUGCAGUUAAAAAGCUCGUAGUUGAACUUGAUGCAAGCUUGGUCUGGGCAUUUGUCUGGACUGGGUGAGCUCUUUUCGGGGGAUGCGUCACUUGUGGCGAGGAACCCACGUUACUGUGAAGAAAUUAGAGUGUUUAAAGCAGGCGAUCGCUUGAAUACAUUAGCAUGGAAUAACAAGAUAGGACUUGGUUCUACUUGUUGGUUUGGGGGCCAGAGUAAUGAUUAAUAGGGCCAGUCGGGGGCAUUAGUAUUCAGCAGUCAGAGGUGAAAUUCUUGGAUUUGCUGAAGACUAACUAGUGCGAAAGCAUUUGCCAAGGAUGUUUUCA
RNAcentral lists this ribosomal RNA (351 nucleotides) under uncultured eukaryote. RNAcentral describes it as "SSU rRNA". It matches the Rfam family "Eukaryotic small subunit ribosomal RNA", at positions 587 to 972 of the family's 1831-position model. The record is from RNAcentral.